RNAcentral lists this ribosomal RNA (301 nucleotides) under uncultured bacterium. RNAcentral describes it as "partial 16S ribosomal RNA". It matches the Rfam family "Bacterial small subunit ribosomal RNA", at positions 509 to 809 of the family's 1533-position model. The record is from RNAcentral.
CAGUCGCCGCGGUAAUACGGAGGGUGCAAGCGUUAUCCGGAUUUAUUGGGUUUAAAGGGUCCGUAGGCGGAUCUGUAGGUCAGUGGUGAAAUCUCACAGCUUAACUGUGAAACUGCCAUUGAUACUGCAGGUCUUGAGUAAAUUUGAAGUGGCUGGAAUAAGUAGUGUAGCGGUGAAAUGCAUAGAUAUUACUUAGAACACCAAUUGCGAAGGCAGGUCACUAAGAUUUAACUGACGCUGAUGGACGAAAGCGUGGGGAGCGAACAGGAUUAGAUACCCCGGUAGUCCCUGUCUCUUAUAA